CUUACUUCCAGAAUCACUCCCACUUAGUGGGCUCAGGACUCAGAGAGAUGAGUUCAGAGUCCAGUUCUGCCCUAGCUGUGAGCUUUGGGCAAUGUCCCGGACUCCUGACGCCAAGUCGGUGAUGGAGAUCCCCCUUCAGAACCAGGCAGACCAAAGCCUCUGAAGGCCUCCAGGUUGAGAGUGAUCGAUUUAAGAUCCGUGAACAGUGGCCGAACGGGGUUCCACGCACGUCGCAGAAGGAAACAAUUCGCUUUCACAGACCCAGUGGAGAGAUAUUUCCUCUUGGCGAAGGAGAAAACGGGAAGGUCUUUGGAGAGGUCAACCAUGAAGGCACCAAGGAGGCAGCGUGUUUGCAGGAGAGUCCUGUGCACACCCCCUUCUCUUCACCACCUGUACCACUUGUCAGCAGGAAAUGAAGCUUCUCAAUUCUGAUGUCCUCCAGGCUGUAGUUCCUGAACGUGGAGAAGCUUCCUUUGGACUGUAAUGGGUAAGCCACAUCCAGUGACAUCAGCAAGGGAACCACAGGGACCCUACGUCAAUGUUGAUCCUGAAUGUCCUUUCUGGCCCAUUCAGAUGACGUUAUCGGAGCUGCUUCCAAGAAUCCUUUGCUUUCACAUCUAACACCUCUGGUUACUCAAA
Molecule: long non-coding RNA, 639 nt
Organism: Neofelis nebulosa (Clouded leopard)
Lineage: Eukaryota; Metazoa; Chordata; Mammalia; Carnivora; Felidae
Exons: 4
Source: RefSeq, a predicted model, not a curated record